Molecule: ribosomal RNA, 460 nt
Filed under: uncultured bacterium
Lineage: Bacteria
Description: partial 16S ribosomal RNA
Rfam family: Bacterial small subunit ribosomal RNA
Source: RNAcentral
CCUACGGGUGGCAGCAGUGAGGAAUAUUGGUCAAUGGUCGUAAGUCUGAACCAGCCAAGUAGCGUGCAGGAUGACUGCCCUAUGGGUUGUAAACUGCUUUUAUGUGGGAAUAAAAUGUUCCACGUGUGAUGUUUUGUAUGUACCGUAUGAAUAAGGAUCGGCUAAUUCCGUGCCAGCAGCCGCGGUAAUACGGAGGAUCCGAGCGUUAUCCGGAUUUAUUGGGUUUAAAGGGUGCGUAGGUGGAUUGUUAAGUCAGUUGUGAAAGUUUGCGGCUCAACCGUAAACUCGCAGUUGAAACUGGCAGUCUUGAGUACAGGAGAGGUGGGCGGAAUGCGUGGUGUAGCGGUGAAAUGCUUAGAUAUCACGAAGAACCCCGAUUGCGAAGGCAGUUCACUGGACUGCAACUGACACUGAGGCACGAAAGCGUGGGUAUCAAACAGGAUUAGAUACCCUGGUAGUC